GGCAAGAUGGCCGAGUUGGUUAUGGCGUGAGGUUAAGGUCACCUUAGCACAGAUUCCUCAUGGAGUAAUCCGCGUGGGUUCAAGUCCCACUCUUGUCA
This 98-nucleotide transfer RNA is filed under the name Xylaria sp. FL0043. RNAcentral's name for it is "tRNA-Leu". It matches the Rfam family "tRNA". From Rfam's summary of the family: Transfer RNA (tRNA) molecules are approximately 80 nucleotides in length. Lineage: Eukaryota; Fungi; Ascomycota; Sordariomycetes; Xylariales; Xylariaceae. The record is from RNAcentral.